RNAcentral lists this transfer RNA (70 nucleotides) under Epinephelus polyphekadion. Its description in RNAcentral is "tRNA-Pro". It matches the Rfam family "tRNA". From Rfam's summary of the family: Transfer RNA (tRNA) molecules are approximately 80 nucleotides in length. Their secondary structure includes four short double-helical elements and three loops (D, anti-codon, and T loops). Lineage: Eukaryota; Metazoa; Chordata; Actinopteri; Perciformes; Serranidae. The record is from RNAcentral.
CAAAGAGUAGUUUAACUUAGAAUUCUAGCUUUGGGGGCUAGAGAUAGGGGUUAAAAUCCCUUCUCUUUGA